UACGGAAGGUCCGGGCGUUAUCCGGAUUUAUUGGGUUUAAAGGGAGCGUAGGCCGGGUUUUAAGCGUGCCGUGAAAUGUCGGGGCUCAACCUUGACACUGCGGCGCGAACUGGAGUCCUUGAGUGCGCGGAACGUAUGCGGAAUUCGUGGUGUAGCGGUGAAAUGCGUAGAUAUUAGGAGGAACACCAGUGGCGAAGGCAGCCUACCGGCUCCAGACUGACGCUGAGGCACGAAAGCGUGGGUAUCGA
RNAcentral lists this ribosomal RNA (248 nucleotides) under uncultured Prevotellaceae bacterium. RNAcentral describes it as "partial 16S ribosomal RNA". It matches the Rfam family "Bacterial small subunit ribosomal RNA", at positions 524 to 771 of the family's 1533-position model. Lineage: Bacteria; Pseudomonadati; Bacteroidota; Bacteroidia; Bacteroidales; Prevotellaceae. The record is from RNAcentral.